Aotus nancymaae (Ma's night monkey) is the source of this 2692-nucleotide long non-coding RNA. Lineage: Eukaryota; Metazoa; Chordata; Mammalia; Primates; Aotidae. The record is from Ensembl.
CUGCCCUGUGUCGGGUCAUGGUCUACAAGAUGGACCACUGUAACUGAGUGACAGCUGGGGAAGGAUGUCAUGGUGCAGCGAGAGGAGAAUAGGAGGGUUCAUUCAAAGGCUCACAACAGUGAUGUUGCACCAGGAUAUUGCAGUGAACCAUGAAGGCUGAUGGGGCAGAGGAGCUCCAACUAUAUCCUGAGAAAAGACAACAUUGUGGAAACACGUCCACACGCCUACCUGGAAGGAAGCAAUGGUCACUUAGUGCAAGCGUGCUCACAGAAAUCCUGGAACUGCCGCAUCGAGUCUUCUGCGUUCAGGCGGACAAACGUCACUGGGUUGGAGGAGCUGGCGGCUGGCGCUGCCUUGUGACCCCAUGCCAUGCCGCUGUAGCCGAGGGUGCACAGGCGAGGCCGCCAGGUGCACAGGAGUUGCGAUGCCAGGUCAGACCCUGGAAACGCGACCAUUUCCCAACCAUGAGCCUUCCUGGUAACUUGUCCAGCUCACUUUGGCCUAGAUCUUCUCCUCACAGAGGGGAUCACAUAGAAAGAACUAUUAAAUAAAUGCAAGCUCAUCAGCCAACCAACUGACCGACGGGCCCAGAUUUCCAAACAACCGUGAAGCAACAAUGGGAUUAGAAGACAAAAUAUUGUUAGAUAAAAUGAGCUCAGAAAGAACUGAGGGUCUGACUGCAUGAUAUAGUUAAGAACUUUGGGAGGCCCCUGUGUAAACCACUGGCUUCUAAUAACCCCAUGUGAAUGUAAGACUCCCAACUUCAAGGGAGGGCUGCUCCCCCUGUAUCCUAGCAAUGCUCUCCCUCUCCUGGCUGUCCGGAUAUUGAUGAUAAUGAAGCAUGCUGCACACACGUGCGUUGUGCUCGUAUCUGCUGCCCCUGGACAGCUGCUGCAGUUACAUGUAUCUCAGCCAGCAUGACAGGUGAAGGCAUGCACCCUUCCCUGGAGUGACAAUGGCACCCUCCUUGCCCCUCCCCCAGUCUGUUCCCCAGUAGUCCUCCCCUGACUACUGCAGCCAUUUCUGCUGAGCACCGAGCAUGCCUGCAACUCUGCAGUGGCCGAGUGCCCGCCAGGGCUCCAGCCUGCCAUCCCAUCCAGCAGUGACUCUCCAGGUGGGGGACGGGACAUCAAGGGCACUGCUGCGAAUCCUGCGUCCUUGAUAUCAUCUUGACCUACUGAGAUGCUACUGCUGUUAGCCAGCUCCAGGAUGCAACCCCUAGAUACUGGCAUGUAUUUUAAACCAGAAAAAAUAAAAAAUAAAACAAGAAAUCAGUUGGAAGGUGACAGCUUCCAGAAUCUGGAUCUUAUGUAGUAAAUGUAGUCACACCUGGAAGAAAGGAGAUAUCUUAUCUGAGGUCCAUCAGACUGCAUUUGCCUGCAAUCUGUGGCCAGUGCUUAAAGGAAGGGGCCAGAAGUAGGGUUGGAAGGUGGAACGUUUGAGGUUGCUCUUCACCCUGGUGAUCUCUGCCAGUCAACAGAAGCUUUGAGAAAGCAAUCAUCACAAAGGCAAUUCAGAAGGGAGGUAACUCAAACAAAUAAAAUAAAUAAAUUCAAAAGGCAUAGCAGCUAAAUAUGAGAAAAAAACAGCCUUGGCUAAUGUUGGGGAUUUAUGAGCAUGAGAUGUGGUUUGAGUCUUAUAUGGGGUUAUAAAUACAGAUCCUGAUGAAAAGCAGAAGUCCUUCCCUACGUCCAUGUCCAUGGUGUUCCUAAACACUUAUCCCUGGAAUCUGCUGGAACAUCCAAAGCUGCUAGUCACAUGGACCUGGCUCAAAGUCACGAUUCGCAGAUGCCCCGUGAGCCACCUUUGCUAGGGUGAGGACAAGUUCAAAUACCACCAGGGACUUCUCUCUCUCUCUUUCUCUCUCUCUCUCUUUGUUGGAAAUAUUUGGGCUAGAAAUGGUUUGGCUCUUGGUGCUAAUAUUAACUGCAUAAUGCAAUGUAACACAGGCUCUAAUUGCUCACAUCUGAUAUUCCAUUUAGAUACGAUCAUAGAAAUGUCAACUUUACCCAUGAUAAAAAAACAGAAAUGUCAUUAGUAGUUUGCCAAAUAAUUUGUCCCUGUGAUUUUUAGCAAUAAAUAACACAGACCUCUCCGUUGCAGAGACCGGCAUCCUGCUUACCUCUUUUCCUCUCACUUCUCUCUUGUCAAUUGUUUUAUUUGGACAUUCAUGUCCAGUGAAUAAAUUCAUCAGCAACUAUUUUUGGGCUUCUGUAUUGAAAAGUUAAUUAUUUUAGAGGAAGUACAUUGUGAUAAAAAAACUCAGUUAUUGUAAUUAUAAUUAUUUGGGGAACUACUAAUGACAUUUCUGUUUGUAGGAAGGAAAGAUAAAUAUUCUCUCCUUCCCUGUAUCAAAAUAGGAAUAUGCCACUUAAAUAAUCAUGCUGAAGAUUAAUUUUCAGAAUGGAUUGUGAGUAAAGCAGCAAGUGUCAGAUGUAAAGAUUGUUGCAGUGUGACCAAAGUGACUGUUUACUCAUGGUUUCAUGUCGGGAUUCUUCGAGGAUGUCAACUACUGAGCAAACCUGGACUGGGGCGUGAGAGCGAGUUGGCACCUGUUCGUUGCUGGGGUCAAUCUGGCCAACUUGACUGCAUGGGGAGCUUCCUUUCCCUGUCUUUACACAUAAGUAUUAUCUGGCUUUUCUGAAGAACAGCAUGUUCUACAGGAAAGGAGCAGAGGUGUGCUGUGGGCCAA